RNAcentral lists this ribosomal RNA (715 nucleotides) under Bacillus subtilis. RNAcentral's name for it is "bacterial SSU rRNA". It matches the Rfam family "Bacterial small subunit ribosomal RNA", at positions 61 to 759 of the family's 1533-position model. Lineage: Bacteria; Bacillati; Bacillota; Bacilli; Caryophanales; Bacillaceae. The record is from RNAcentral.
GUCGAGCGAUCACAUGGUAGCUUGCUCCCUGAUGUUAGCGGCGGACGGGUGAGAACAGGUGGGUAACCUGCCUGUAAGACUGGGAAACUCCCCUUAAACCGGGGCUAAUGCCGGAGGGUUGUUUGAAUAGCAUGGUUCAGACAUAAAAGGUGGCUUCGGCUACCACUUACAGAUGGACCCGCGGCGCAUUAGCUAGUUGGUGAGGUAACGGCUCACCAAGGCAACGAUGCGUAGCCGACCUGAGAGGGUGAUCGGCCACACUGGGACUGAGACACGGCCCAGACUCCUACGGGAGGCAGCAGUAGGGAAUCUUACGCAAUGGACGAAAGUCUGACGGAGCAACGCCGCGUGAGUGAUGAAGGUUUUCGGAUCGUAAAGCUCUGUUGUUAGGGAAGAACAAGUGCCGUUCAAAUAGGGCGGCACCUUGACGGUACCUAACCAGAAAGCCACGGCUAACUACGUGCCAGCAGCCGCGGUAAUACGUAGGUGGCAAGCGUUGUCCGGAAUUAUUGGGCGUAAAGGGCUCGCAGGCGGUUUCUUAAGUCUGAUGUGAAAGCCCCCGGCUCAACCGGGGAGGGUCAUUGGAAACUGGGGAACUUGAGUGCAGAAGAGGAGAGUGGAAUUCCACGUGUAGCGGUGAAAUGCGUAGAGAUGUGGAGGAACACCAGUGGCGAAGGCGACUCUCUGGUCUGUAACUGACGCUGAGGAGCGAAAG